CCCUCCCCAGGGAGACGGGGACAGAGCGGCUCCCUGACGCCUGGGCCGGGCCAGCUGCAGGACGGGCAGGGCAGGCCGGCGAAGCAGGGGCAGAGCAUGGAGGGGUUCCUUCCCAUCUGUCCCUACGACGAAGGUGCUAUUGAUGUAGCUGGGGCAUACGAAGGUAUCCACAUCACGUCUGCUGAACAGUGGGAAUGUUGUACCCCUGCCUGUCCUGGCUGAGCGUGCAAAGCGCUGUAGUGCACUCCGGGAGGUGUUUGAGGACGUGGCAGUGUAUUUCAUACGGGAGGAGUGGGAG
Long non-coding RNA from Alligator sinensis (Chinese alligator), 298 nucleotides. RefSeq lists it as uncharacterized. The record is from RefSeq and is a predicted model, not a curated record. Lineage: Eukaryota; Metazoa; Chordata; Crocodylia; Alligatoridae. The transcript has 3 exons.